RNAcentral lists this long non-coding RNA (2161 nucleotides) under Pongo abelii (Sumatran orangutan). RNAcentral describes it as "lncRNA (ENSPPYG00000031297.1)". Lineage: Eukaryota; Metazoa; Chordata; Mammalia; Primates; Hominidae. The record is from RNAcentral.
AAUGCAGAUUCUCAGCCCCCUCCCAGACUUGGUGAAGUCAGAAGCUGUCAGGGAGGGACUCAGCAAAUGAUUCUAAAGUACAUCAAGUUUGAGAACCACCCUAAGCCAAUGAGUCUCCCUUUUACUUCCCAUUAGUCUUACCCCACCAGAUGAUUCCUAGGACUCAUGGUGCAAGAUACAGGAGCCAGGCUUUAGGGAGGGGAGGAAAGGAGCCUGGCAGCAGGGGUCUCUGCAAUGGCAAGACAGUGAGUGAAUCCAGCGCUGCCACCUGGUCAUCCCCCUCUCGUUGAAAAUACCAGUGAGUGCAGGUGCAAAUUCCCAAACACAGCCUGCCUGCACUUGGUGUUACCUCGGGCUGAGGCACGAUAUUUUAUUUUUUAAAGCUGUGAGGAAAUGAAAGUGAGGCUUUGGUGGGGGUGGGGCAGUUGUGAAAGAAAUUAAAAUAAAAGACCUUUUGUAAAUGCAGACUUAGAAGAAAUACUGAAUUUGUGUCAGAAGUUCUCCAGUGUUUGUGUUAAUCGUGUGGUGAUAAUCCUGUCCUCCUUUUAAAGCAAAUUCUCUACUGAAAGGUCUGCUCUGCUUAAGGAGCUACAAACUGCUCUCAAAAGAAUGAAAUACUGAGUUCCAAUUCAGUGGGGCACAGUGUUGGACUAUGGCACAUUUAGUUGGAGUUGGGGGGAGGUCAGGAAUAUAAUCAGAUAUUGGAUUUUAUACCUUAGAGCAAAACCUAUUAGUCUCUCUCAGUUUAUCAAUUUAAAUGGCUUUAGGCAUAGAGGGGGUGUAAACUUUAAGAAUAUAAUUCUCCCAUUCAAGUUUACAGCAAACAUCUAGCCACCUUCAAAACAAAGAAGAUACAGACCAUCAUUUAGCAAUACUAAUACAUGAUUUUCCUUGGGGAUGGCAGGUUUGAGAAUCCUUUAGCAACAGGACAUACUUCCCCUAAAUUACAGUGAAUUAUUUAUAACGAGAUAAAGCUUUCAGGUACAAACUGAAGGUGGGGUGUCUAAAAACUAAAAACUAUCACUAAAUCUCAAAGAGAAAGUUCUUGGAAAAUAUGUAAAGUUCACAAGGUGCAGACAUUUUCCUUCUUUAGGCUUUUAUCUAAGGAAGGGCUAUGAAACUGGGCCCAUCUGUGUACAGGCUCAAAUUUACAUUUUUAAAGGAAGAAUCUAUGCAGCUGAGGCUUAUUGCAGGAAAUACUUCAUUUGUAUGUAAAUAUUAUUGUAAAUAAAUAGGAGGCUGUAUAUUUUUGAAGUUGUUGAUCCACACUGAAAUAGAAGUCUCUAGGACCUGCAUAUAAACAAUAAAUGUUUCCUAGAUAUUAGUGGUUUUGUUUGGGAAUUAGAAAAAUUUACAUUCUCUCCCAGGUAACAUAGUUCUCUGAAUGUAAACUUGGAACCUGAAACCCUACUUAAUUUAGAGAAAGAAAUGUCUGAGAAAUAGUUCCAUUGAUUUCUUAUGCUGGCAUUAAGAUCAAUUAUUUAACAGAUAGUCCUCUGAGAUACAAAUAAGGAAUAUUUAGACACAAAUCCUUGUCAUAUAGAAACAGAUAUACCCAAACGACAAAUUGUUUCUUCAUAAUGAUCUUCCAUUGUUAACACUGAUACCACUACACAGUACAUAUGAAAACAGAAGCUGGGGAGAAGAAUGUUUUUUUCACAAUUGAAUUGCUGCAUUUCUCAAACUUUGGGAUCUAUGAAAGCGGGGAGAGGGAACCUGAAUAUUAAUUAUGAGCACAAAUUUGAAGGAAGGAAAACAAAGAACCAUUAUCUAAUCAAGCUUUGAAAGUCCUGCAUGUUUGCCUUUUAUUUUAGUGUUGACGCCAACAUAGACUGUCUAAGGUAAUUUUUUCUCCAAACACUUGAAUCUUGGUCAUUGGUAUGUAAUCCACUCUCUAGAGUCCAGUGUACUUUAGACUUCAUCUGAGUCCAGUACAUGUACCACACUACUGUUUUGGUAAUGUAAAAACCUUGUAAAUGAAUUUCAGAUGGGUGAUUUAAGUGAGUCACAAGUCACAAAACUUUGCUAUUCAUAGUUAAUCAAAUAGAACUGGGUUUUUUUUUUUUUCAGGGUGUGGUGUAAAGAAAGAAAUAUAAGAAGUUCUGUUCUAUAACUGCUCUGUUAACAUAGUUUUUAAACAUUAAAAAAUAUGAACUAAAAA